Molecule: long non-coding RNA, 362 nt
Organism: Nyctereutes procyonoides (raccoon dog)
Lineage: Eukaryota; Metazoa; Chordata; Mammalia; Carnivora; Canidae
Exons: 3
Source: RefSeq, a predicted model, not a curated record
ACUUCGUUUGCUGGAAGAGAGAAGCACAGAGGGUGGCCUCCAUACCCAGGUCGAUGGGGACACUUUCCCUGGAGGGAGCACAGGCUGUCUACCUUCGUGUCCCUGACCUGUGACAAAAACUCAAUGGCACAGAGCAUGUCCACCACGGUGCAGUGACGAGCAUCUCCCCACCAGCUUCUGGUGGCUGCCAGCGAUCCUCAUGUCCCUUGGUUUAAUGUGGAAACACAUCACUCCAGUCUCUGCCUCUGCCUUCUCGUCCUUGCUCCUCUGUGACUUGGUCUGGAUUUAGGGCCGACCCUGAAAAUCCAGAAUGAUAUCAUCUCAAGAUCCUUAAUGGAAUUACAUCUACAAAGACCCUUAUC